CCGUAUGAGACGUGCGCCAGUUGCCUGAUUCAAACUUAACUCAGUCAAGUUUGCUAGUGGAAAUGUUCCUCUUGCCAAAAGCACCACAAUAUGUCUGCCCUUCAGGAUUGCCAGGGCAGCGGAUCGGACGAGUGCCUGCACCGAGAGGAACUGGACUGGACCGCGAGACCAGAGGUUGCGCGAGGCGGAGGAUGAGUCCAAACGUCGAGCACCGGCCGAGAGGGGACCCGACCAUCGGCCGACUUUCGCCCGUGACGAGCGGCUUACAACGGACGGACGGGUGCAGAUGCGGCGAGGGCAAAGUGCCCAGCCAGCAUUUAAGGAGAGUAUGACUUUGUUUUUCCUUUGGUGCUUUCUUUCUUUCCCUCCCUCCCUCCCUCCACUUUUUCACUGGGUGUACACACUGGCUGUCUGCAUGAUGCCUCUUUCUUUCUCAGCGCAGCGUCAUUUUGCAAUAUUGUUGUUUUUUUUUAAUACAUGAAGUGAACUGUUUGGACUGUAAUUGUGUGUGUGUACCUCUGAACCUGAAUUAAACUGUGAACUGAAUUCAAGUGGUCCAUUUUAAACAUUGGCAUGAGCACUAUAGUGCGUAAUCAGAGUUAAAUGACAAUAUACAAACUGGAAUCAUUUGAGACAUUCUCAAUGAUAAGGCAAUUGUAAAGUUAGUCUCAAACAAAAUUGCCUUGUUAAUUAUGCAGUGUCAGGCUUUUUAUUUUUACUACACAAAGAAAAGCUGUAUGCAUUCUAAAUGGUUGACAAAAGCCAAAUAGCCAUAGAUUCAAACGACAAGCGUAAGCGUACAGUGUCUGUUGUGAUAAAUAAGUCAUCUUUGGCAAGCCUGCUUUAAAAUGGCCACCGAACUCAGAAUCUCCCUUUAUGUUGGUGCAUUUUUCUGUAAGAGUAAGUCUAUUUUAAUCGAGUCUGAGCCUUUUUUUUUUUUUAAUCAUGCUUGUGGGCAUUUUUGUGAAUAAAAACCACGUUGGUGUGUUUUCUUCCUGUUGGUGGUCUUGUAAAUAAAGUCAACUUUGGUGUCCGUCAUCAUUCAUGAUGCGCCUCAAUUGAUGCUGCAUCUCUUAAAUAUGAACCUUAUUGCAUGUUUUGUUACAGGGCUUGGCUUCAUUUGCUGGCUGACUACAAAGAAGGCUGUUGCCGUACAGUCCAGGGCGUUGCCAAAGUAAAUUGAAUCUAUAAACCUAGCGUGUAACGUCCAGGACCUUGGCUUUCAAUUCAAGGCACAGUUGCAUGUUGCGGCCAGCCUUGGUGCAUGUACUGGGUGCUACCACCCAGUUCAGUAAAGGCCACCCCGCAACCUGCUUAGGUGGCACGCCAGUGAGGCACUCUUAAUACCGGCAUCUUUAUUAAAUUGACCUGUUCAGACAGGCGCGAUGAAUUCCAAGUGCUGCCACCUUGUGGCGGCGUAUUUGCCUCAACCUGUCUAACGCUCCAUUUAAGUGUAUGCAAUCAUUUUUAACUUGAAACAACUACAUGACAAAUGAUAGGUGCCCUAAUUAGACAACCUGGUCAAUGCGACCCGUCUUUUGCGGUGUGUUUUGCCCAAAGCUACCUAACAAAUGCACACUUGCUCCAUUUUUGCUCCUCUUAUUUAUUGUGUUAUUUGUUUAUUUAUUCAUCACUCCUUCAUUGUUUGUGCCUUCUUUUUACUUUUUUGUGUUUACUUGUAUGUAUAUUGUGUACUAUGUCUUGUCACCGUGGGAUAGUGGGAACGUUAUUUCGAUUUCUUUGUGUAUCUUGGCAUGUGAAGAAAUUGACAAUAAAGCAGACUGACAAAUAC
This is a long non-coding RNA of Syngnathus typhle (broad-nosed pipefish), 1792 nucleotides long. RefSeq lists it as uncharacterized. Lineage: Eukaryota; Metazoa; Chordata; Actinopteri; Syngnathiformes; Syngnathidae. The record is from RefSeq and is a predicted model, not a curated record. The transcript has 2 exons.